UCAAGUUACAAACUCUAAUCUAAUCCAAUGCAGUUGCUUGGGAUGUUAGGAAUCCUACAAGUGAUCCAAUUGCUCCCAAUUCUUUGGAUUAUUCAAAUUAUUCCCUGGAUUAUCUUCAUCCAACCAUGCCUGGCCAGCCCUAGAGAGAGAAUAAUAGGGGGGAGUGUUGUAUCCGGGGAUGAAAGACCUCCUGUUAUGGGAAUCUUCAACUUCCAGCCAAGUUCUUCUGUAAAAUGCAGUUGUUCUGUUAUAUCAGCAAAGUGGGCAGUGUCAGCAGCCCACUGCAUUGUGGAAAAAGAGCAUUUUAUAAAUGGUUCUUGCAUGGAAGAAGCUACCAUGGUUAAGUUUCUAACUGUUUGUGAACAGCUGCCAAACGGAGACACUAAGCUAAUUUUUCCAACCCAGAAAGAACAAACUCCUAGGAUAUAUAUUGGAGUGGAUGAUUUAACCACAGAAUUGAGAGAUAGAUCAAAGAAGUUUCUGGUUGACUACAUAAUUUCUCCUAAAGAUGGAUAUCAAGGAGGAAAAUAUGGAUCUUUUGGAGGCUAUGAUAUUAUACUGGUUAAGACACAUCUUCCUAUGGACCUUAAUGCACCGAUAAAUGUAUGUAUCCCUGGACCUGAUUAUACCUUUUCCAACCCAAACUUAAUGAUUGGAGGUUAUGGGAGGAAUCGGAGAAUACCUUGUGAAGUAAACGACCUAGGACCUUCUAUUUUUCAAUUCUGCAAAGUGGACAAUAUGUGCAAACUUAAAACCCAGCAGUACCAGCAAGCAAAAUGCAAUGUUCAGUUCACAUACAAUAAUAAGGAAUAUGGAGGAUGUAUUACUGAAGAAGAAACACCAAGUGCAAGAAAUCCAAUCUGUUCUGAUUUUCGAUCAAAGACUCUGUUAACUGAUCAAAAAAUGAGAAGAAUGGAUUUAAACGAAAUCGUAAUUUUGGAACCUUCUAGCUUGGCUGUUCUUACUAAAUGUUAUAGGAUAGAUCCAGGAAAAUAUGGAUGGUGUGGAAUCACAAACAAUGUUAUUGACGGAAAAUUUGAAAAAACUGAGGAUGGUGGCAUUGAAACUGACAAUGGGUGGGGGAUUUGUUCCCAAUCAUGUGACACUGCUAAUGGAACAAUUUCAGGGAAACCUAAGGUGAAGAAAGCUCAGAUUUUAGAUCAGGACUACUGUGACAACAAUUUGAACAUGUUGAGGGGUAAACUUACAGAUCCUUAUACCGUGAAUCCAAAGGUGUAUUGUGUUGCAUACAAUGAAACAUAUAAAACUGCAUUUUUUUUAAAGAUAACGGAAGUUAUGUGAUGCUGGACAAUAAGCCAGAGUAUCACAGUAUGCUAGGUCGAAAGAAUUCCUGGUAUAUUAGAUCUGUUGGUAGCUGUUUAGGAGACUCAGGGGGUCCAC
This 1401-nucleotide unclassified non-coding RNA is filed under the name Eurytemora carolleeae. RNAcentral describes it as "uncharacterized LOC111695732". Lineage: Eukaryota; Metazoa; Arthropoda; Copepoda; Calanoida; Temoridae. The record is from RNAcentral.